CGGGAGCAGACCCAGGGCCUCCUCUGACCUUAUGUGAGAUCCCGGGGCAGGCCGCUUCGGUGUUCUGGGUUUGUUCCUCCUCCUCGGCUGGAAGAUUAGGCGCCUCCAGAAGGCUGGCUUCACGGUUGUACGGGGUCUUUGCCGUCCCUCAGAGCUCCAUGGUUUGGCUGUUUUUUGCUUGGCUUGUUUGUUUUUAAUAUAUAUUUACUUGGCCGCCCUGGGUCUUAGUUGCGGCCAUAGAUCUUCUGUCUUCGCUGUGGCGUGUGCGAUCUGGUUCCUGACCAGGGAGAGAACCCGGCGCCCUGCGCUGGGAAAAUUCUUGACGAUAUUUGAGUAAAGAGCCUGGCAUUUUCACUUCGCGCCAAGCCCUGCAAAUUAUUCAGCUGGUCCUGUGGGCCAGGUCAGUGGCUCCCCAGGAUCCCUGAGGCUGUUCUAUGGACUAAGGGACCCAAAGCCUACAGGUGUGGAAACAGUGGGUUCACUGUGAACAGUAUGGAAACAGCUGUGUUAAAAAAAAAUCUCCAAGUCUUUAGUGUGCCGAUGUGCUUUGUAGCCGUCCAGGAAAGGGGUGUGAGAGUCGUCUCCAAACUUCCUUGGCCACAAAACCCCUUUCUUUGUUCAAAAGCGUGUAGUAUAACAAGUAUCACAUAGACUGAUGCUGGGGGAUGAUGGCCUUGCUGUUUGCUGAGGUGUCUGUGAACUCUGCGACCUUUACCUUUUAUUACAGCGAGUUUAUGUGCAGAGUGGAAUUGGGGGGCGGGAAGGAAAGCCGCAGUUAAGAGUGAGGAUGGUGCUACUCGCUGACCCAGGACUCUGCUACAAGGAAGACUUAGGCUCCUCCAGGCUCAAGCAAGCCCACACGGACCCCCUGGACCCCCGUUUUCCUCCUCUGAAUCUUCGCUUAUGUUGCUUUGUCUCCUUACACGCUCUGUGCUACUUCAAUCCACUGAUUCUUGUCGUUUCUUUUUCUAAAAUGUAUUCCAAAUUUAUCUACCCAUCUCCCAGCUUCACCCUGCUAUAAAGCACGGUGCCCCAAAGAGACUGCCACUGCAGUCUGCUUACCCCCCGAGCUCCAGCCCAUUCUCCACGCGGUGCUCCGUCCCGGCUUUCUUUUCAAAGUGUAAACUGGCUUCACACCACCGCUUGGCUUGAAGCCCUUCAAAAGUCUUUCUACAGUUGGGAGAAAAUCCAGAUUCCUUCUCAUGAUCAAUGCCUUGCAAGCCCACCUACUUCUCCAGCUCCUUCUCAAGCUGCCUGGCGCUUGAGUCCUUCUUGAUAAUCCCCAAUUUUCUCUUUAAGAACUUUUCACUUGGGCCCACAGGAUUUUGUUCAUUCCAAUCCCCACUUUUCAAAUGGCUGGUUCUUCCUCGUGCCUCAGAUCUCCACUGAAACUCUCGAAGACGUCCCCUGCCUUUUGCCAAAGCAGGACCCUGCCCUGCCCCCAGCGCCACCCAGCCUGGUGAUGCAGUCAGCGCCUUCUGCUCUUCAGUCCCCAUAUCUGUAGCAAGCUGGCUUCCACGACGAAGUGCUACAGACUAGGUGGUAAACCGCAGAGCUGUACUUGCUCGUGGCUCUGGAGGCCGCUGGGACGGCUCCUCCGGGGCUGUGAAUGGACGGUCUGUCCCGGCUUCCUUCUUUGACUGGUAGCUGGCCGCCCUCUCCUGUGUCUUUGCCGCCCCCCCAUCUCUCUGGACCUGUCUCCAGGGCCCCCGUCACGUUGGAGUAGGGCCCACCCUGUGUCCUCGCCUUACCUUGAUUUCUCCUGUAAACAUCCAGUCUCCAAUUACGGUCACCUUCUGAGGCACCGGCGGUUAGGACUUGAACGUGUGAAUUUGAGGUGGGGCUGGGGGAUAUUUCUCAACUGAAUUUCAUGACAGUUCUGAAAUUUGAAAGUGUCUGCCAAACGCUAUGCUCCUACCUCAGCAAAAGAGGGGCCAGAUGAUAUUAAGAUGGUGACGUCUGCAUCCCUGACAGUCAGUUCUGGACCAAGGUUUGGGAACUAGGUUACUUGGAUACAGAAUGUUUCUAGCAGGAGCUCACCUAAGGUCCAGGAUGUACUGGAAACGGUACGAUUAAUUGCUCCGUGUAACCGUGAUGUGACCAUUCACCUGUGGGCCAGGUGAAGCCAGUGGAAGAGGCCCAUCAAGUCAUGCAUUUGCUGGAGAAUUAGCCCCAGGACAGCCUGACUUCAGUUUUCAGGGAAGGUAGCUUCUGGGUCAUAAUCUGUGCACCUUCUGUAUCCGACGCAAUACCCAUGUUCUUUCAUUAUAAAUGGGCAGGAGAGCUCAAAAGAAAAUGAGAACUGAAGAACAAACAGACAAACCCGAGGCUCGCAGAGGCUUGUAUGUGUGUGUACAGGAAUACUGGCUGACGGUGAGGCAUCUUUGUCACGGGGACAGCCGUCAUGUAAAAUAGCUUGUCUCUAAGGUUUUCUUUAACCGACUUAUUUUAAACUGAGUUCUAUAAGCAUGAUGUCUUUUUGCAUUUCUUUUCUAAUUAUAAGCUAUAGAAAAUAAUACAUACAUUGGUUUUGCUGUUGAUGAAAGCUUAUUUUUAAAAGACAAUAAUGAAGAAGGAGAUUCAUAGGGCUAAAUGGCCAUCUGCCCUGACAUUCAGCACCAUCCAGGCAAACACAGCAGAAGGCUAGAAGUCGAAUGCAACGAGUUCCAGGAGGUUAGUAUUUCCGAGACUGCUCCCCAGCUGUUCGUUUCCUCGCUGCUGUAAGCCCCUGAUAGUUCCUUCAGUGGCACGGUGGCACUACGGCCAUUUAUGUGAUGAAAUAGCGGAAUUCAUCGGAAUGGAGACACACAGUCCUCGAGUGGAGACGCAAGCUGAUAAUGGGGAGAGCACAUUUUUCCACAUUUUCCACAGAGGCACAUUUUCCACUGGCUGGGUGUGGGUACAGCAGAAUGUCAGAAUGUGUUUAGUAGAGGGUUUUAGUCCUCUUUCAGCACUUGAGCAGCUCACUUCAUGUAAAGACAGGACUGGGCCCUUUAAGAUCUUCCCUGAGCCUAACGAAUGGAUUUGAACAGGCUUAUAAAAAUGGCUGCAAAUAUUUUUCUUUGCCUGUUUCAGAUCAUGCUAAUCAGAAAGGCUCUUUGAAAACAAUAUUUUUAUCUGUAGCUCAAAUUCAUCCAUACCCAUUAGCUGCUCAAUUAGGCGAAACAGACUUUUAGUUGCAUGCCAGGGGCUUAAUUUAAUUUGCCUGGGAUAAGCAGUUGGCCAUAACUGUGAAACCCUGUGUUUUUUUAGAAAUUAAACCAGAGUAGUGAAGCAAAAGCUCUUGACAUGCCGUGUGGAAGCUGAAGUCCGCCGUCGUUUAGAUUGUGUGGAAAUUCAAAGCG
This is a long non-coding RNA of Bos taurus (domestic cattle), 3344 nucleotides long. NCBI's taxonomy places the organism in Eukaryota, Metazoa, Chordata, Mammalia, Artiodactyla, Bovidae. The record is from Ensembl.